AGAGUUUGAUCCUGGCUCAGGACGAACGCUGGCGGCGUGCUUAACACAUGCAAGUCGAACGAAGCAUACGGACGGAAGUUUUCGGAUGGAAGGCUGUAUGACUUAGUGGCGGACGGGUGAGUAACGCGUGAGCAACCUGCCUGUAAGAGGGGGACAACAGCUGGAAACGGCUGCUAAUACCGCAUAAGACCACAUCACCGCAUGGUGGAGGGGUAAAAGAUUUAUCGCUUACAGAUGGGCUCGCGUCCUAUUAGGUAGUUGGUGAGGUAAAGGCUCACCAAGCCGACGAUAGGUAGCCGACCUGAGAGGGUGAUCGGCCACACUGGAACUGAGACACGGUCCAGACUCCUACGGGAGGCAGCAGUGGGGAAUAUUGGGCAAUGGGGGCAACCCUGACCCAGCAACGCCGCGUGAGGGAUGAAGGCCUUCGGGUUGUAAACCUCUGUCCUUGGGGACGAAGAAAGUGACGGUACCCAGGGAGGAAGCUCCGGCUAACUACGUGCCAGCAGCCGCGGUAAUACGUAGGGAGCGAGCGUUGUCCGGAAUCACUGGGCGUAAAGGGUGCGUAGGCGGUCAUUUAAGUCAGAUGUGAAAUACCCGGGCUUAACUUGGGGGGUGCAUCUGAUACUGGAUGACUUGAGUACAGGAGAGGAAAGUGGAAUUCCUAGUGUAGCGGUGAAAUGCAUAGAUAUUAGGAGGAACACCAGUGGCGAAGGCGGCUUUCUGGACUGUAACUGACGCUGAGGCACGAAAGCGUGGGGAGCAAACAGGAUUAGAUACCCUGGUAGUCCACGCCGUAAACGAUGGAUACUAGGUGUAGGGGUCAAAAGACCUCUGUGCCGCAGCAAACGCAAUAAGUAUCCCGCCUGGGGAGUACGGUCGCAAGACUGAAACUCAAAGGAAUUGACGGGGGCCCGCACAAGCGGUGGAGCACGUGGUUUAAUUCGAUGCAAACCGAAGAACCUUACCUGGGUUUGACAUGUAAGUGGUGGGAGCUGGAAACAGUGACGAAUCUGCCGCAAGGUAGAUAGCUUACACAGGUGCUGCAUGGCUGUCGUCAGCUCGUGUCGUGAGAUGUUGGGUUAAGUCCCGCAACGAGCGCAACCCCUGCGGCUAGUUGCCAUCAAUACGGUUGGGCACUCUAGCAGGACUGCCAUCGACAAGAUGGAGGAAGGUGGGGACGACGUCAAGUCAUCAUGGCCCUUAUGUCCAGGGCGACACACGUGCUACAAUGGACGGUACAGAGGGAAGCGAGGCAGUGAUGUUGAGCGGAUCCCGAAAAGCCGUUCUCAGUUCGGAUUGAAGUCUGCAAUUCGACUUCAUGAAGCUGGAAUCGCUAGUAAUCGCAGAUCAGCCAAGCUGCGGUGAAUCCGUUCCCGGGCCUUGUACACACCGCCCGUCACACCACCCGAGCCGGGUGUACCCGAAGCCGGUGGCCUAACCGCAAGGAAGGAGCCGUCGAAGGUGUGUCUGGUGAGGGGGGUGAAGUCGUAACAAGGUAACCGUA
RNAcentral lists this ribosomal RNA (1507 nucleotides) under uncultured rumen bacterium. RNAcentral describes it as "bacterial SSU rRNA". It matches the Rfam family "Bacterial small subunit ribosomal RNA". The record is from RNAcentral.